RNAcentral lists this ribosomal RNA (549 nucleotides) under uncultured Glomeromycotina. Its description in RNAcentral is "SSU rRNA". It matches the Rfam family "Eukaryotic small subunit ribosomal RNA", at positions 548 to 1098 of the family's 1831-position model. The record is from RNAcentral. Lineage: Eukaryota; Fungi; Glomeromycota.
UUGGAGGGCAGUCUGGUGCAGCAGCCGCGGUAAUUCCAGCUCCAAUAGCGUAUAUUAAAGUUGUUGCAGUUAAAAAGCUCGUAGUUGAAUUUCGGGAUUCAUCCGUUGGUCGGGCUUCACGGUCCGUACUGGUGUGAUGGGUUCCUACCUUCUGAAUAACCGGCAUGCCAUUAAUUUGGUGCGCCGGGGAAGCAGAACUAUUACCUUGAAAAAAUUAGAGUGCUUAAAGCAGGCAAGUGCCUGAAUAGGUUAGCAUGGAAUAAUAAAAUAGGACGGCAUGGUUCUAUUUUGUUGGUUUCUAGGAUCACCGUAAUGAUUAAUAGGGAUAGUUGGGGGCAUUAGUAUUCAAUUGUCAGAGGUGAAAUUCUUGGAUUUAUUGAAGACUAACUUCUGCGAAAGCAUUUGCCAAGGAUGUUUUCAUUAAUCAAGAACGAAAGUUAGGGGAUCGAAGACGAUCAGAUACCGUCGUAGUCUUAACCAUAAACUAUGCCGACUAGGGAUCGGACGAUGUUAAUUUUUUAAUGACUCGUUCGGCGCCUUACGGGAAAC